UGAGGAAUAUUGCGCAAUGGACGAAAGUCUGACGCAGCAACGCCGCGUGUGGGAUGAAGGCCUUUUAGGUCGUAAACCACUGUAGCAGGGGAAAAACAUCCCAUUUUAUGGGCUUGAUGGUACCCUGAAAGUAAGCCUCGGCUAACUACGUGCCAGCAGCCGCGGUAAUACGUAGGAGGCGAGCGUUGUCCGGAUUUACUGGGUGUAAAGGGUCCGCAGGCGGGCAUCUAAGUCGGUGGUGAAAUCCUUCAGCUUAACUGAAGAACUGCCUCCGAUACUGGGUGUCUUGAAUAUAGGAGAGGGCAAUGGAAUUCCAGGUGUAGCGGUGAAAUGCUUAGAUAUCUGGAAGAACACCGGUUGCGAAGGCUGUUGCCUGGCCUAUUAUUGACGCUCAUGGACGAAAGCGUGGGGAUCAAACAGG
RNAcentral lists this ribosomal RNA (421 nucleotides) under uncultured bacterium. RNAcentral's name for it is "bacterial SSU rRNA". It matches the Rfam family "Bacterial small subunit ribosomal RNA", at positions 355 to 776 of the family's 1533-position model. The record is from RNAcentral.